RNAcentral lists this ribosomal RNA (478 nucleotides) under uncultured bacterium. RNAcentral's name for it is "partial 16S ribosomal RNA". It matches the Rfam family "Bacterial small subunit ribosomal RNA", at positions 28 to 523 of the family's 1533-position model. The record is from RNAcentral.
GACGAACGCUGGCGGCGUGCUUAACACAUGCAAGUCGAACGGUAAGGCCCUUCGGGGUACACGAGUGGCGAACGGGUGAGUAACACGUGGGUGAUCUGCCCUGCACUUCGGGAUAAGCCUGGGAAACUGGGUCUAAUACCGGAUAGGACCACUGCCUGCAUGGGUGGUGGUGGAAAGCUUUUGCGGGGUGGGAUGGGCCCGCGGCCUAUCAGCUUGUUGGUGGGGUGAUGGCCUACCAAGGCGACGACGGGUAGCCGGCCUGAGAGGGUGACCGGCCACACUGGGACUGAGAUACGGCCCAGACUGCUACGGGAGGCAGCAGUGGGGAAUAUUGCACAAUGGGCGAAAGCCUGAUGCAGCGACGCCGCGUGAGGGAUGACGGCCUUCGGGUUGUAAACCUCUUUCAGCACCGACGAAGCGCAAGUGACGGUAGGUGCAGAAGAAGGACCGGCCAACUACGUGCCAGCAGCCGCCGUAA